GCGUGGUGGUGUAGUCGUCAAACACAUGGAGUCUGAAGCUGCACUGUCUGGGUUCAAAUCCCAGCUACUGCA
Molecule: transfer RNA, 72 nt
Filed under: Loxodonta africana (African savanna elephant)
Lineage: Eukaryota; Metazoa; Chordata; Mammalia; Proboscidea; Elephantidae
Rfam family: tRNA
About the family: Transfer RNA (tRNA) molecules are approximately 80 nucleotides in length. Their secondary structure includes four short double-helical elements and three loops (D, anti-codon, and T loops). Further hydrogen bonds mediate the characteristic L-shaped molecular structure. tRNAs have two regions of fundamental functional importance: the anti-codon, which is responsible for specific mRNA codon recognition, and the 3' end, to which the tRNAs corresponding amino acid is attached (by aminoacyl-tRNA synthetases). tRNAs cope with the degeneracy of the genetic code in two manners: having more than one tRNA (with a specific anti-codon) for a particular amino acid; and 'wobble' base-pairing, i.e. permitting non-standard base-pairing at the 3rd anti-codon position.
Source: Rfam by way of RNAcentral